Molecule: ribosomal RNA, 979 nt
Filed under: Limosilactobacillus fermentum
Lineage: Bacteria; Bacillati; Bacillota; Bacilli; Lactobacillales; Lactobacillaceae
Description: bacterial SSU rRNA
Rfam family: Bacterial small subunit ribosomal RNA
Source: RNAcentral
CUGAAAGUGCUCGUGCUAUACAUGCAAGUCGAACGCCUGGCCCAUUGAUUGAUGGUGCUUGCACCUGAUUGAUUUUGGUCGCCAACGAGUGGCGGACGGGUGAGUAACACGUAGGUAACCUGCCCAGAAGCGGGGGACAACAUUUGGAAACAGAUGCUAAUACCGCAUAACAGCGUUGUUCGCAUGAACAACGCUUAAAAGAUGGCUUCUCGCUAUCACUUCUGGAUGGACCUGCGGUGCAUUAGCUUGUUGGUGGGGGAACGGCCUACCAAGGCGAUGAUGCCUAGCCGAGUUGAGAGACUGAUCGGCCACAAUGGGACUGAGACACGGACCAUACUCCUACGGGAGGCAGCAGAAGGGAAUCUUCCACAAUGGGCGCAAGCCUGAUGGAGCAACACCGCGUGAGUGAAGAAGGGUUUCGGCUCGUAAAGCUCUGUUGUUAAAGAAGAACACGUAUGAGAGUAACUGUUCAUACCUUGACGGUAUUUAACCAGAAAGUCACGGUUAACUACGUGCCACCAGCCGCGGCAAUACGUAGGUGGCAAGCGUUAUCCGGAUUUAUUGGGCGUAAAGAGAGUGCAGGCGGUUUUCUAAGUCUGAUGUGAAAGCCUUCGGCUUAACCGGAGAAGUGCAUCGUAAACUGGAUAACUUGAGUGCAGAAGAGGGUAGCGGAACUCCAUGUGUAGCGGUGGAAUGCGUAGAUAUAUGGAAGAACACCAGUGGCGAAGUCGGCUACCUGGUCUGCAACUGACGCUGAGACUCGAAAGCAUGGGUAGCGAACAGGAUUAGAUACCCUGGUAGUCCAUGCCGUAAACGAUGAGUGCUAGGUGUUGGAGGGUUCCGCCCUUCAGUGCCGGAGCUAACGCAUUAAGCACUCCGCCUGGCGAGUACGACCGCAAGGUUGAAACUCAAUGGAAUUGACCGGGGCCGCACAAGCAGCGGAGCAUGUGGUUUAAUCGAAGCUACGCACAUAACCUGA